Molecule: long non-coding RNA, 1304 nt
Filed under: Pongo abelii (Sumatran orangutan)
Lineage: Eukaryota; Metazoa; Chordata; Mammalia; Primates; Hominidae
Description: lincRNA
Source: RNAcentral
AAAAUUGAGUUAGACAAGUUAAGUAACUGCUCAAAGCUUUAUAUACACUAAAUAUCAGAAUUAGGCUUUAUCUCAGAACUCUUUGACUCCAAGAUACAGGAAAUUAAGAACUAUUAUACUUUCUCUAUUUCUAAAUGUAAUACAAUUCACACAUUUUAAAUAUCUUAAGUGUCAAUAUCUGCCUUACAUUAAAACAAACUACAUCAGAGAAAGUUUAUUGUCUUUUUAAGUAUUAUUUGGAAAAAAAUCUUAACUAUGUACAUAUAUUUAAAACUACUUAGAAUAUAUUUUCAACAAUAGAAAAUCAAAUGAAGUAUCAAUGCUGUGGUCCGAAUAUCUGUGUCCUCUUCAGAUUUUUAUGUUGCAAUCUUAACCUUAAGUUAAUGGCAUUAAGAGGUAAGUCCUGUGGGAAGUGAUACACUGAUGGGGACAUCCCAUUAAGUAACCAAUGGGCUAAGGGAGCUCAUUUGCCAUUUCUACAGUGUGAGAAUGCAGCAACAAGAUGCCAACUAUGAAGCAAAGAGCCCUUAUCAGACAAUGAAUCUACUGACACCUUGAUCUUGGACUCUUCAGCUUCCCAAACUGGUUACCAACUAUAUCACAUAAUGGUCCUAAGGAUUAAAUGAAAAAAAAAUGCAGUAAGCCAUGGUCCAGGCUUGAGGGUGGAGCCCUCACGAGAGACCUCACCAUUUUCUACGUAGUAUUUCCCUGUCUCCUGUCUAUAUCACAAAGCAUUAAAUUGAAGCCAAGGGACUGAAAUAAGAAACUCCAGAGAACAACAAGAGGAAUUGAAAUUGCAUGGUCAUUAGAAGGCAUCUUAAGAAUAACCGUGUAGCAGAGAAUGAGGACUCAUAUCAAAGUCUGAUUCUUUUAGUAUUGGAUUUUAUGUAAGUAAAAUUUUUAGUAUACUCAAACAAAUAUUAUCAUCAAUAUAUUAAUGUUCAUAUUUACAUUUUCAUCAUGAUGCAGACAAUGAAAACACUAAACAGACUAUUUGCUAAUGCUGAAAAUCUUUAGGAUUUAGAUAAGAGUUAUAUUAUACAUAAAAUAAAAAUAUUAUAAACUAAGCAUAACUGAAAUGUGCUUUUAAGACCUUGGUUUUGUUUAAAUCUAAAAAUCAAAUACAAAUGGAAUAUAAAGUUCAGUGUGUAACUAUGACAAAAAAUAUUUUGAGUUUAGGAAAUAAGCUGUAGUAUCUGGAAUUUCAAGAGAUAUAUAUAAUACUUUAUGAGAAAGAGUACUUUAAAGGUCAAAAGAAGGGAAAAUAACAAUAAUUUGAAGCUCAAUAAAUGAAUUCAAAUCCA